AGAGUUUGAUCCUGGCUCAGAUUGAACGCUGGCGGCAGGCCUAACACAUGCAAGUCGAACGGUAACAGGAAGCAGCUUGCUGCUUCGCUGACGAGUGGCGGACGGGUGAGUAAUGUCUGGGAAACUGCCUGAUGGAGGGGGAUAACUACUGGAAACGGUAGCUAAUACCGCAUAACGUCGCAAGACCAAAGAGGGGGACCUUCGGGCCUCUUGCCAUCGGAUGUGCCCAGAUGGGAUUAGCUAGUAGGUGGGGUAACGGCCCACCUAGGCGACGAUCCCUAGCUGGUCUGAGAGGAUGACCAGCCACACUGGAACUGAGACACGGUCCAGACUCCUACGGGAGGCAGCAGUGGGGAAUAUUGCACAAUGGGCGCAAGCCUGAUGCAGCCAUGCCGCGUGUAUGAAGAAGGCCUUCGGGUUGUAAAGUACUUUCAGCGGGGAGGAAGGGAGUAAAGUUAAU
Molecule: ribosomal RNA, 460 nt
Filed under: uncultured bacterium
Lineage: Bacteria
Description: bacterial SSU rRNA
Rfam family: Bacterial small subunit ribosomal RNA
Source: RNAcentral